AAGUCUGUUCAGAAAAAGCUGGGUUUCUGUUGACAUAAAGCUACCGAAGUAAUCUGGGAAAUCAGCCAGUGAAAACCAGCAGAUCCCAGAGUAGUAAAGCUCUAUUCACUAACCUUGUUUAUUUCUAACAAAUUGUUUCCCAGAGGGAUCAUGAGCAGCCCAAUUGCCAGGUCUCUCACACCCCAGCAACUAUUAAGACUGGCAAUUCUUUGCUGGUUUCGGAGUGCAGAGCAGCCCCGGAUAGUCCCCUGGAUUCACCGGUCAAACCCUUUAUAGAUUUGGUAUUGAUGAAAUGAUAAGACUAAGAAGAUGCUCAGUAAAGACUAAUUUCUCUCCUCGCUUCCUUGACAGGUCAGUAUGACUGGGAGGGGCAAAAUAGCAGAAAUUUCAAACCAAAGAGUUGGAAAGCCUUG
RNAcentral lists this long non-coding RNA (413 nucleotides) under Fukomys damarensis (Damara mole-rat). Its description in RNAcentral is "lncRNA (ENSFDAG00000026119.1)". The record is from RNAcentral. Lineage: Eukaryota; Metazoa; Chordata; Mammalia; Rodentia; Bathyergidae.